This is a long non-coding RNA of Leopardus geoffroyi (Geoffroy's cat), 192 nucleotides long. RefSeq lists it as uncharacterized. The record is from RefSeq and is a predicted model, not a curated record. NCBI's taxonomy places the organism in Eukaryota, Metazoa, Chordata, Mammalia, Carnivora, Felidae. The transcript is spliced from 2 exons.
GGUGGCUCAGUCAGUUAAGCAUCCGACUUCGGCUCAGCUCAAGUCAUGAUCUCACGGGUUCGUGAGUUCGAGACCCACAUCAGGCUCACUGCUGUCAACGCAAAGCCCACUUUAGAUCUCUAUCCUCCUCUCUCUGCCCCUCCCCUGCUCAGUGUUCUCUCUCUCAAAAAUAAAUAAAACAUUAAAAAUUUU